Molecule: ribosomal RNA, 192 nt
Filed under: uncultured eukaryote
Lineage: Eukaryota
Description: partial small subunit ribosomal RNA
Rfam family: Eukaryotic small subunit ribosomal RNA
Source: RNAcentral
AGUUGGUGGAGUGAUUUGUCUGGUUAAUUCCGUUAACGAACGAGACCUUAACCUGCUAAAUAGUUACGCGAGCCUUCCACACCGCUGGUCAUAUGGGGGAAACUUCAUGCGGCCAGUGGGAACGGCUCUGCGGCCAACUUCUUAGAGGGACUAUUCGUAUCUAGCGAAUGGAAGUUUGAGGCAAUAACAGGU